This 253-nucleotide ribosomal RNA is filed under the name uncultured bacterium. RNAcentral's name for it is "partial 16S ribosomal RNA". It matches the Rfam family "Bacterial small subunit ribosomal RNA", at positions 524 to 776 of the family's 1533-position model. The record is from RNAcentral.
UACGGAGGGAGCUAGCGUUGUUCGGAAUUACUGGGCGUAAAGCGCACGUAGGCGGCUUUGUAAGUUAGAGGUGAAAGGCCGGGGCUCAACUCCGGAACUGCCUUUAAGACUGCAUCGCUUGAAUCCAGGAGAGGUGAGUGGAAUUCCGAGUGUAGAGGUGAAAUUCGUAGAUAUUCGGAAGAACACCAGUGGCGAAGGCGGCUCACUGGACUGGUAUUGACGCUGAGGUGCGAAAGCGUGGGGAGCAAACAGG